GCCCGAUAACCUUCCUCUAGCAACCGCGCAACAUCGGAUCGAGCUAUCCUCGGGUCCCUAACCUCGGUGGUCGUCACCAUCGGGGCAGGUGGUGGACUGGCGGCGUGGACGUGGUGCCUGGCGGGGGAGGGGAGUGCCGCACUGUGAGCCUCGCUCCGGCGGGUUGCGCGCUCGCCUCGCCGGUACAGGAGUGGGCAGGCAGUGGUCGCCAUGGCGCGGCCUGGGUGCCCGCUGUUCUCCUUGCGCACAUGGUGCCACGGCUGGAUCCGCAGCACCACCGCCCGCCGCCCGUGCCGGCGCUCCCACAGCCACGUUCCCGUCCACCGUCGCCCGCACCCGCCUGCGCUCAUCCAUAGCGGCGUUCUUAAUGGCUUCAGUGACCACGCCGCCUCGGCUGCGACCCAGGCCUGCUUGGCCGUCGGAUGGAUGGAUACCGGCACUACAGGGCACGGACUUCAUGCUCGUGCCGACGGAGUUCAUCCUCGAUGCCCUGGCUGCGACCCAUAUUGAUUGGCCACCGGCUGGAAGGGGACGUCCUGCUCCUCCCGACUAAGCUUGAUCGAUGUGGGGCGGUGGUACAGCCUGGUGUUUAGCAGGACCACAUGAGCGGUGACUAGCAUCCAGUAGGAGGCAGCAAGAAGCAGUGAAAACUCUGAGCUAGCUGCUAGCAAUGCACCCCCUCCGCUCUCAUCUAAGUACAUGGAUUUUCAAUGGCCAAACUACUCUCUUGUUUCUUUCUCUAGCGUUUCCAGUUUUCACUAACAAUCCGUAUUUGGUAAACCGUGAACCAUGUUCAUGAGUAUCUGCCCACAACCUGUUUGAUGAUAUGCAUACGAAGGAUUGAGAUA
This is a long non-coding RNA of Triticum dicoccoides, 848 nucleotides long. RefSeq lists it as uncharacterized. The transcript is spliced from 2 exons. Lineage: Eukaryota; Viridiplantae; Streptophyta; Magnoliopsida; Poales; Poaceae. The record is from RefSeq and is a predicted model, not a curated record.